GAGAGUUUGAUCCUGGCUCAGGAUGAACGCUAGCUACAGGCUCAACACAUGCAAGUCGAGGGGCAGCAUGGUCUUAGCUUGCUAAGGCCGAUGGCGACCGGCGCACGGGUGAGUAACACGUAUCCAACCUGCCGUCUACUCUUGGACAGCCUUCUGAAAGGAAGAUUAAUACAAGAUGGCAUCAUGAGUCCGCAUGUUCACAUGAUUAAAGGUAUUCCGGUAGACGAUGGGGAUGCGUUCCAUUAGAUAGUAGGCGGGGUAACGGCCCACCUAGUCUUCGAUGGAUAGGGGUUCUGAGAGGAAGGUCCCCCACAUUGGAACUGAGACACGGUCCAAACUCCUACGGGAGGCAGCAGUGAGGAAUAUUGGUCAAUGGGCGAGAGCCUGAACCAGCCAAGUAGCGUGAAGGAUGACUGCCCUAUGGGUUGUAAACUUCUUUUAUAAAGGAAUAAAGUCGGGUAUGGAUACCCGUUUGCAUGUACUUUAUGAAUAAGGAUCGGCUAACUCCGUGCCAGCAGCCGCGGUAAUACGGAGGAUCCGAGCGUUAUCCGGAUUUAUUGGGUUUAAAGGGAGCGUAGAUGGAUGUUUAAGUCAGUUGUGAAAGUUUGCGGCUCAACCGUAAAAUUGCAGUUGAUACUGGAUAUCUUGAGUGCAGUUGAGGCAGGCGGAAUUCGUGGUGUAGCGGUGAAAUGCUUAGAUAUCACGAAGAACUCCGAUUGCGAAGGCAGCCUGCUAAGCUGCAACUGACAUUGAGGCUCGAAAGUGUGGGUAUCAAACAGGAUUAGAUACCCUGGUAGUCCACACGGUAAACGAUGAAUACUCGCUGUUUGCGAUAUACUGCAAGCGGCCAAGCGAAAGCGUUAAGUAUUCCACCUGGGGAGUACGCCGGCAACGGUGAAACUCAAAGGAAUUGACGGGGGCCCGCACAAGCGGAGGAACAUGUGGUUUAAUUCGAUGAUACGCGAGGAACCUUACCCGGGCUUAAAUUGCAGAUGAAUUACGGUGAAAGCCGUAAGCCGCAAGGCAUCUGUGAAGGUGCUGCAUGGUUGUCGUCAGCUCGUGCCGUGAGGUGUCGGCUUAAGUGCCAUAACGAGCGCAACCCUUGUUGUCAGUUACUAACAGGUUCUGCUGAGGACUCUGACAAGACUGCCAUCGUAAGAUGUGAGGAAGGUGGGGAUGACGUCAAAUCAGCACGGCCCUUACGUCCGGGGCUACACACGUGUUACAAUGGGGGGUACAGAGGGCCGCUACCACGCGAGUGGAUGCCAAUCCCAAAAACCUCUCUCAGUUCGGACUGGAGUCUGCAACCCGACUCCACGAAGCUGGAUUCGCUAGUAAUCGCGCAUCAGCCACGGCGCGGUGAAUACGUUCCCGGGCCUUGUACACACCGCCCGUCAAGCCAUGGGAGCCGGGGGUACCUGAAGUGCGUAACCGCGAGGAGCGCCCUAGGGUAAAACUGGUGACUGGGGCUAAGUCGUAACAAGGUAACCG
RNAcentral lists this ribosomal RNA (1491 nucleotides) under uncultured bacterium. RNAcentral's name for it is "bacterial SSU rRNA". It matches the Rfam family "Bacterial small subunit ribosomal RNA". The record is from RNAcentral.